AGCUGUGGCACUUGGCUGCAAUGCUGAGCUGUAAAACUCAGCCAUGCCUCUGAGCUGUGGCACUUAGCUGAGACACUAAGCUGGAACACUUGGCUGUAGCACUGAGCUGCUCUGCUCUGCUGCAAUAGUUUUGCAGGAUGUCUCAGUCUGCGUUGGAAGUUGUGGUCUUUUAUGGCUUGAAACACUUCACUUCAUACUCUCCUGGCCUUUCAGAAUAUCGCCUACAAGGCUCCUAAGGCAGAGAAGCUCAGCUGGUCCCAGCACGCGGAAGGAAGCUCCCCGCCUCCACCCCAGGCUCCUAGGGCAGAGCAGCUCAGCCAGUCCCAGUACUCAGAAGGAAGCUCCCCACCUCCAUCCCAGGCUCCUAGGGCAGAGAAGCUCAGCCGGUCCCAGCACCCAGAAGGAAGCUCCCUCGCUGCCAUACCAGGCUUCUAGGGCAGAGAAGGUGAGCCGGUCCCAGCACCCGGGAGGAAGCUCCCCACCUCCAUCCCAGGCUCCUAG
This 501-nucleotide long non-coding RNA is filed under the name Heterocephalus glaber (naked mole-rat). RNAcentral's name for it is "lncRNA (ENSHGLG00100052150.1)". The record is from RNAcentral. Lineage: Eukaryota; Metazoa; Chordata; Mammalia; Rodentia; Bathyergidae.